CAGUCUUUGCCUUGUUCGUGACUCGGCACAUACGGUCGAACCAACGCUUCACCUACGGGAGCCCUAGAUCCGCCGGUGGAAAGGUAUCCCCCUCGACGGGGAAGCUCGAAACUGGCGUGCGGGCACCCACCUGCUAAGGCAGGUUCACCAGCCGAGUCACGGCAAGGCUUAGACGCU
RNAcentral lists this non-coding RNA (177 nucleotides) under Coriobacteriia bacterium. RNAcentral describes it as "6S RNA". It matches the Rfam family "6S / SsrS RNA". Rfam says of the family: E. coli 6S RNA was the first non coding RNA to be sequenced, but its function was unknown until recently. It consists of 184 nucleotides that fold into an extended hairpin structure with a large single-stranded internal bulge. Lineage: Bacteria; Bacillati; Actinomycetota; Coriobacteriia. The record is from RNAcentral.